Molecule: microRNA precursor, 104 nt
Filed under: Marmota monax (woodchuck)
Lineage: Eukaryota; Metazoa; Chordata; Mammalia; Rodentia; Sciuridae
Source: RNAcentral
AGUAGAAUUACUGGGUCAUAUGGUAAGUCUAUGUUUAACUUGUUGAGGAGCUGCCAAACUGUUUUCCAUAAUGGCUACACCAUUUUAACAAUCUUACCAGUAAU